RNAcentral lists this ribosomal RNA (347 nucleotides) under uncultured Delftia sp. Its description in RNAcentral is "bacterial SSU rRNA". It matches the Rfam family "Bacterial small subunit ribosomal RNA", at positions 8 to 359 of the family's 1533-position model. Lineage: Bacteria; Pseudomonadati; Pseudomonadota; Betaproteobacteria; Burkholderiales; Comamonadaceae. The record is from RNAcentral.
AGAGUUUGAUCCUGGCUCAGAUUGAACGCUGGCGGCAUGCCUUACACGUGCAAGUCGAACGGUAACAGGUCUUCGGACGCUGACGAGUGGCGAACGGGUGAGUAAUACAUCGGAACGUGCCCAGUCGUGGGGGAUAACUACUCGAAAGAGUAGCUAAUACCGCAUACGAUCUGAGGAUGAAAGCGGGGGACCUUCGGGCCUCGCGCGAUUGGAGCGGCCGAUGGCAGAUUAGGUAGUUGGUGGGAUAAAAGCUUACCAAGCCGACGAUCUGUAGCUGGUCUGAGAGGACGACCAGCCACACUGGGACUGAGACACGGCCCAGACUCCUACGGGAGGCAGCAGAAGGG